UGGCAGACGGGUGAGUAACGCGUGGGAAUCUACCCAGUACUACGGAACAACAGUUAGAAAUGACUGGUAAUACCGUAUACGCCCUCCGGGGGAAAGAUUUAUCGGUAUUGGAUGAGCCCGCGUUUGAUUAGCUAGUUGGUGUGGUAAUGGCGCACCAAGGCGACGAUCAAUAGCUGGUCUGAGAGGAUGAUCAGCCACACUGGGACUGAGACACGGCCCAGACUCCUACGGGAGGCAGCAGUGGGGAAUAUUGGACAAUGGGCGCAAGCCUGAUCCAGCCAUGCCGCGUGUGUGAUGAAGGCCCUAUGGUUGUAAAGCACUUUCAACGGUGAAGAUAAUGACGGUAACCGUAGAAGAAGCUCCGGCUAACUUCGUGCCAGCAGCCGCGGUAAU
RNAcentral lists this ribosomal RNA (393 nucleotides) under uncultured bacterium. Its description in RNAcentral is "bacterial SSU rRNA". It matches the Rfam family "Bacterial small subunit ribosomal RNA", at positions 96 to 524 of the family's 1533-position model. The record is from RNAcentral.